RNAcentral lists this long non-coding RNA (20661 nucleotides) under Selaginella moellendorffii. RNAcentral's name for it is "long non-coding RNA (SMOE_LNC000165)". Lineage: Eukaryota; Viridiplantae; Streptophyta; Lycopodiopsida; Selaginellales; Selaginellaceae. The record is from RNAcentral.
GGCUCUCACAGACAAAGUGAAUCGAGGAGCUCAAAAUGCUAUUUAGAUGAGAAAAACUGGAGUCCUUAGCAUUUUUUUAACUUAUAUAGUUAAAGAGGGGAAUAUGCUUCUAGCAUCGGCGCGUAUAUUCUUCGGAUAGUUUUUCCGCCUUGACUGCCACUACUCAGGCCGAGGAUGAACUGGGCGUGGAUGUGUCGUCUCCCAGCGGCGAUUUGCUACUCCAUUUUCUCAAGAGCGGUGGGGGUGACGAGCAGCUGAGGAGCAGUAGCAGCUACAGGACCCAGCAGUCGCAGCUCACCGUCCCUGCCACAGCUUUGCUCCUUCUGGAGGACCUGGAGGAGGAGGAGAAGGUCCUGCACGACCACUCUACGUCCCAGCAAUAAGAUUUGGUGGGUGGUCACCUCACUUCCAGCAGCACCAAGACCCACUUUUCCCUUCGGAUCCAUUCUUGACUCCGUCGGACCACUGAUUUCUACGCUCGUUUGCUCCUCUUCCAGUCGAGAGACCGUUCCAUCCGCCAGUGCCGUAUCCUUUUCCAAAUGCUCCGACUUUCCAGCCUGCUGAUAAUGUGGUUCAUCCGCCGCAUUCCUCUGGGGAGCUUAAAGCUCGUCCUGCCCUUCACUUCGAGUCUCCGGUGCUUGGACCCAGCGCAGCAGAGACCUCGGACUCCAAACGCGCCCCAGAGCAGCCGAGGAGAUCGGUUACACCUGCGAAGGAUGACAAGCAACAAUUCCACGGCAAUGGUUCCGAGCUCCUUCAAUUGUUACAGGGUGGUCCUGGUCGUGUGAAGCCCACAGCCUCCACAAAGGUGGAUGCUACACAGGACAGUGGGGAUUCUGGAGAGCCAUCAAAGAAAGGAAGUCCAUCUGCUGUUCACGGCCCAUGUCGUUUCUCCUCCGAAUGACCUCCUUGGACGUUUGUGGCCUGCUCUUCCGUCGUCAAGCCACACUUUGUUUGGCGGAGAAAGCGAACGCAAGACGUCAGCCCGGAGCUUUGGCGUUGAAGUGAACGAUAUGUCCCGGGAAGUCGAUGGAGGUGGAGCUGCUGGUUUCGCACUUUUGAAGCGAAGGGGAUCGGAGCCUGCCGCCUCGCACCACCUUUAAACGACUUCGACUAUAACGACUCUAAGACAAAUGAUAAGCCGAGGACAAACUCAGCAUCCGGAAGACUACAGGACUAUCGUGGGAGAUACGUAAAUGGAGAGGCCGAAUUUGAGCCCGGAGGCGAUGACUUUAGAGGCUGACUCAAAGGCAGCAUUUCCAGCGGAGAAAAAACCGGACUACAAGGUUCCAAAGGCACGGUCUUUGGCAUCUCAACUUGGCAUCUCAACUUGAACGUCCAGGCUUGCCAUCGGGAAGUACGCAGAACUCUUCCGUUGGUGCGGCUUUUGAGGAGUCCAAACAGAGGCUCCAUAAUCUAGAUGCUUUGGAAGGAGAAGGCGUGACGACCUCUCUAGAUCUCGAGGAGCUACAAAUUGACGGUCACCGUCGUCAGGGUAAAGCUCCACAGUUUUACAAGGUUUGUGCUUGCUUUUUUUCUUUCUUUAUUUCCAUGUGUUUGUAUCUCUGGUUGCAGCCGAAGGAGAACCGUUUCAGGGAGUCCAGACACGUCAUUCCCAUGCACAGACGUGAUCUUCUUUACCGACUGGAUCUGCAGAAUUUCACUCGUGAGCUUUUCUGCCUCUACGACGAGCUUUUCUGCCUCUACGACGAACCGAAGAAGGGGAGGUCCGGAGAAGGAAGUCGAAGCUUGAGUCCCUUUUCGAGAGAGAGCUCCCGGGAACACGGCUCUUUCUUUGCGGAUCGUGUGUUAAUGCUUUUGGAGUUUGUAACAGUGACAUCGAUGUUUGCCUCUCCGUUGAUCAGGAAGAACAGAACAAGAUCGAGCUGCUUGUUCAAAUGGCAACUAUCCUCGAGUCAGAUGCCAUGUUAAACGUACAGGAGGCGUACGACUCAACGUGACUCAUGGUACCCAUAGUUUCUUAUCCGAAUUUUUAGCCAUCCUCGGAGAAAACUUUCCUUUCAUUGUUCUUGGCAACAAGGUCGAUGUCGAUGGAGGGAACAGUAGAGUGGUGAGCUCUUUUGUUUCAUCUCUCGCCUCACUUUAAAGCUUGUGUGUUUAGGUUUCCGAGGAGAAAGCCAAGGUCUGGUGUGCUUCCAAGGGAAACAUUCCAUACUUUGAGGCGUCUGCCAAGGAAGACUACAACGUGGAGGCUGCGUUUCAAUGCAUUGCCAAGAAUGCCUUGAGGAGCGAACCCAAGGAACACUUGUAAGUUUUGCUUGUUUCUUCUUGUGAUGUUUCAAUCUCACAUUUAACUUCUGGCAGCUAUCUUCCAGAGACGAUCGACAUUACAAAUAACAAUUGAUCUACUACUACUGUCCCUCUAUCGAUAAGUGUUUUCGCUUUCAAUUUAUAUGGUUUUUUUCUUUCUUUUUCUUGUCACUCUCUCCUUUCGCUCGUUGGCCUUGGAUUUUUUAACUUCUCAAAUACGUUUUUUUUUUUUUGCUACGAAAUAAUUUUUCUUCUUCGAUCUUGUAUCUAGUUACUACUAGUAGUGCGCAAAUUGUUGUGUUUGUGUAUUAUUAAAUUUUCUUCGUUUCUAAUGGAUUGCUAGUUGACGAGAAUGUGUCACAACAUGCCUAGUUUUUCUCGAUUCCACAAGUCUGGGUUGCAAAUAAGCAAAGGCUGUGAUUGACACUGCAUCACAAGAGUUUCCAAUCCUUGGCAGCGAUGCAACUUCGAAGCUGUGCAACCCUUUCAUUGUCUUAUUCAGCCGCCAAUUUCAUUAUCCAAAAGUAUGGGGAAUGUGGCGAUGUGGAUGGCUUCCACAAACCAAAGCAAUCAGGAUCGAGAGAGAUCGCUACAUUGAUCUCGAAAAGUGCAUAUUCUUAAUAUUCCUAUGUUUUCCAUAUUUUACCAUUUACUCUGUACACCAAAACCACGAGAGUAAAGUAAUAUCCCGAGAAUACGAUUUGUAAGAAAAAAAGAAACUGUUUCUUCUCCAAACGCUGCUGACGCUGUGAAAUCUCUGUUUUCGUUUUUUGAUGUCCUGCUUGUGAUGCAAAAUAGUGUAGCAUUUGCGCAGAUCUUCAAGAACCCAAUCGAUGUCCACUGAAGGAGCAAGGUUUGAAAGUGUCGAUGUGGAGAUCCGGCCGUUCCACAAGCCAAGGUGGAACUUUCGUACCUUUUGGGCACCAUAGGGAUUCGAGCCUUGGAAAUAAGCCAAGGCCGUGAUUGUCUGAACUCAAUUGGGGCCACACUACAUCAUCAUGACCAAAGAGCACAAGUUCCUCCAAUCCUGGAAGGGAUGCAAUGGAUGAUGGAAUAUUUUCGUUCCUAUCCAAGGUUACUUUUGUUAGAGCAGUCAUCUGGUCUGUUGGCUCAAAGAAAUCAUUGGGGGAGCUGCUUAAUAAUAGCCUCCCUCGCGAAUAAUUCGACCUGUUUCACCUUCAGCUGUGAUCUUUCGGUUGGCAUCAAGAGUCUCCUCAUGUAACCUUCUACUCUCAGUUCAUCAAGGUCUUUGGGGAGUUGUGUCACAAAGAGAGGCAAAUGCUCCCAUGUAUUAUCAGGAGCCAGAUAGAAUCUUAACCUCUUCAGGUUUGGAAGACUUGCUGCCAAAUCGUCCUUGAACUCGGACUGUGCAAUGUGUAGAUUUUGAAGGCCCAGAACUUCAAGGCAUGGGAACAAUCCAUCCAGACUGAAGAACUGGAUGCCACUGCAGUCUAUGUGAAGUACUUGUAGCCGUUGAAAGCCCUUUAGCCAAGACAGGUCUUUCAUUGUCCCAUUGUUUUCACCGUCUUGUACCCCGUCAAUCGAAAAGUGCUGAAGCUGUUUGGAAUUCUUAAACAUUCGCUUCAAGUCAAGUUUGAUAGUCGAUUGCACGCUAAUGUCACAUAGUCUUAGAUUGACAAGUUGCCACGGGCCGGUGAAAUCACCAAAGUCCAUGCUCUUUGCACACAACACCAGUGUCUCAAUGUCCUCUAGUGCACCAAGGCUGUGCGGUAUUUUUAUUGUUGCAUCGUGGAGGUGUAGGUCUAAAUGUCUUAGCUUGUGUAGGCUUGAAAUUCCACUCAGAUCCACAGCUAACUCAUUGGAAAGAAGCUCCACACGUUCAAGGCAUGGGAACGAUCCAUCCAGACUGAAGAACUGGAUACCACUGUAGUCUAGGUGAAGUUCUCGUAGCCGUUGAAAGCCCUUUAGCCAAGACAGGUCUUUCAUUGUCUCAUUGUUUGUGAUCCUUAAAAAUUGUAGCUGUGGCCAUUCGAGGCUAUCGGCAUUGUUUUCACCGUCUUGUACCCUGUCAAUGGUAAAGUCCUCAAGCUGUUUCGAAUUCUUAAACAUUCGCUUCCAGUCAAGUUUAAUAGUCGAUUCCACCGUAAUGUUACAUCGUCUUAGAUUGACAAGUUGCCACAGGCCGGUGAAAUCGGCAAAGUCCAUGCUCUUUGCCCGCAACUCCAGUGUCUCAAUGUCCUCUAGUGCACCAAGGCUUUGAGGUAUUUUUAUUGUUGCAUUGUGGAGGUUUACCUUUAAAUGUCUUAGCUUGUGUAGGCCACUCAAAUCCACAGCUAACUCCUUAUAGGAAUGAAGGUCCAGCUCUUCCAAGUUGAAUAAUUGGGGCAGUAAUGCAAAGUUGAAUUUUGUGAUGUCAUUGUAUUUCAAAACCUUCAGUGAUGUCAAGCUGAAGAGCCCAUCUGGCAAUUGAGGCACACCUGAAUCUCGAAGGUCAAGCACUUGAAGGUUUCUCAGCUUGGAUAUGCUCUCUGGAAUAAAACGGACCCAAUUUCUAUACAAGCUCAAUACCUUGACAUUUUGGAUGUGAUCUAUAAUAAGACUGACAUCCACUCUAGAAUGACAUCCAUCGAGAAGCAAGACAUCUCGCACAUGAAUGUCAGACAAAAGGCUCCUUGUAACAUUCUUUUGAAUGAAUGAAACUUUAGAAAAUGUUGGAGAAAUCCCAGGUGGACAAUCAUAGCCAAACAGACAUCCCUUCUCGUGCUCUUCCUGGGGUGGGUACUUCCCUUUCAAGAUUCUUAUGCACAGCUUGCGUACCAUAUCGUGCACAGUUACAUACUUUUCCCGAAGUAUACUAGUUGUCUUCACUAGGCAUCUUCGUUCCAGUUCACUAACAAUCUGCAGAGGCGAGAGUUCUGACCCAACCGCUAUCCAACAUUUUCUCAGAUCAUCAAACUCGAUUCGCCGAUCUUCUGGAAACGCAGCCACAUAGAGAAAGCACUCUUGCAGCUUUUCAUCCUUAUUAAAGCGUCCCAGCUCGUCAUAGCUAAACUUCAAGCGCUGGAACAUCCGCUUCUCAAUGUCCCCGUCAUUCAACAAAUGCAUCUUCUGAUAGCGUUCUUUCCACACCUGUGGCCCCUCAUUCCUGUAGACAGCCAUGGCACUGCCAAUCACUUCAAGAGCUAAAGGGAGCCCCUCACAUUUGCUAGCUAUUCUCUCGGCAACUUUCACAAUGUCCGGAUCACUAGGUAGUGAAUCAUAAAAGGCAAACUUCCAAAACAUCUUUUUGCUCUCGGCCUCUGAUAGCUCAUGCACAGGAAAUGCCUUUGCACCCAGCAUGCUCAAAAUGCCUUCCUUUCUGGUUGUUACCAGCACCCGGCUGUAAGAGGACGGCCCUGCUAUAAAAUCCAGUCCCUUGGCCCAGCUCAUGUCCCACACAUCAUCCAGUAUCAGCAAGACACAAAUUCCACGAGCAACAUUUUGUGCCAAGUGCUGCACAUGCUCAAGGGUGCCUGCAUUUUGGGCCCUCUCUUUCAUGCCGCCCCAUUCAAGAGUGUUGAGGAGCUGGGCCCUGAGAUCGUCCUCCGAUGCAUCUUUCUUGACAGUGAUCCACACAAUGUUGUCAUGGAAAUGCUGCCGGACCCUCUCGUCAUUGUGCACGAAGCUUGCAAGGGUGGUCUUGCCACACCCUCCCAUUCCCAGGAGUCCAAACCAUUUCCCCGGGGCUUGUGGAUCCAGGAGGGCAUUCACCACCUCAUCCAGCUGCUCCCCAUGGCGGCCAAACAUGUCGCUGGGCUCGGGACCACCACGCCGUACAUAGUUUACGAGACCUCUGUCUUGUGGACAACUCCGUACGGAAAAGCUGGUGCUCGGCUGUAUCACUCUCAACUCUUCUCGCUCGUACCUUUCAAUCUGCGGGAGGAGAUCGUCCUCGCAAGUGCGUACCAGCUCCGAAAUCGCGCCAGAUCGCUUCUCCCUGCGCGACAGAUCCAUCUUUUAGCUCCAUUGCUUCAAACAUGAAUUCGAAUAAGCCUUACUGUGAUCCAAGCAGCGCUUGCGCCUUCUUAGUCCAUUCAGUCAGUUCAGUCAGCCACGCCUCAGCCUCACCAGAGUAGCGGAAGUCUGGAUUCCUGUGCUUGGGAGCAUUAAACUUGUCAAGCGUGGCCUGGAUUCUGGAUGCCCUCUUCUUUAGCUCCUCAACGUGGACAUUCAGCUCAUGCUCGUGACCUUGGAUCUGCGACAGGAGAUCGUCAUAGGCACUUAAGGACUUCGCGAUCUCGUCACUCCGCUUGUACCUAUAGGAAGUGGAGAAGUUCAACCAGCUGCCUGCUAUUUCUAAACACACACACACACACACACACACACACACAAAAGAUAAAAUGCUACUGUACCGACCGCUUUAUGGGGCUCCAGAUCCUGUUGUCGCGUGAUCCCAAGAGUGCUUGUGCCUUGGUGUUCCAUUCCCUGACACGCUCCAAGCAUUCCUCGGCCGCUUCAGAGAACGUGAAGCCAGAAUUCUGCUGCUUGUGAUCGCUGAAAGCGUUGAUCUUGGCCUGGAUGUGGUGCGCCUUGUUCUCCAGCGUGUCAAUGUUGGCAUUGCAGUCCCAUAUCUUCUUAGCAGGGCCCAGAGCCAAGCCACACAAGGCGCCUGCCAAGGAGCCCACAACCUCCAUGCCUGUAAACCUACAAGUAAAGGUUCCCAGAAAGAAGCGCAAUAUUAACUCUUGACCUUGUAGAUCGGACUUUUUUCACAGCUGUGACUCACUCACUCUAAGAGAUUCACAGUGAGCACCGCAACGAUCGCUACAUCGCUUGAGAAACACCUCUAUUUGUACAAACAGACAAACGUGGAGCACGUAAAGUCUUUGGCCUAAAACGGGCAUCUUAAAGAUGCGACACGUCGUCUUUUCUCUUGUACGGCGUUGAUCCAGGCGUACGGAAAUAGAGGGCUCCUCUGCCUAUCUUUGAUGGGAUCCGGGCGAUCUUGUCACCGACGUCUUGAAAGAUCUUAGAUUCUAUCCGCAAUCGCCCAGUCAAUGCGAUCCUGGCGAUGGGUGCUCCAUAUCAUUCUAUUCCCGCCCGGACGUGAUCUCCAGGAUUUGCGAAGAAGAAGGUCGUCGAUCAGAUGCGCGAUGCUGGCGCGCAAUUGAUUGGGGCUUCCCGCUACAUUUUCCCGCGCUAUCGUCUCUACUUCUCCAUUCUAGGGUUCUUUCUUGGAGGCGACGUAGGUUUUCUAUUGCCCGCGUGGUCGAGGAGACGGCGCUGGGGGGCGGCCUUGAUCGGCGUUCUGGAGCUGCACAGGUAAUGGGGCUCGACACUCCGGGUUUUAGAAAUAGGAAGAGGCUCCAGCUUAAGGCUCCGACGAGCAGUGCCAAGGCGAGGAGCCCCAGCCAGCGUUGGUAAAUCGUGGACGACAGGGAGCUCUAGAUCUACGGUGACAACAAAGGCCCCUACGGCAAAAUGUUCCAUCGGCAGUGGAUCGCCAAAAACUCCCGCAAAAGCUGAGGCUUCUAGGACAGCAAAAAUUGCCGAGGUGAUUGUUGAUAGUGGAGCAGAGGAUUUAGAUGAUUCGGGAGUAGAAAGUGGAGCAAUCGAUGGUGGGGAAGAAGAGGUAAACAAGAUUAAGACUGGAGGAGGAAACGAUGCCGAGGUGGAAAGAACAACAGUGGUCGAGAGCUCCAUUGAGACUGUCUGGAAACAUGGCGAGGCUGUUUCUAGCGCCUUAGCUGGACUUUCAAUCAGAGGUAGUGCCUUGACCCACGGUAAUCCCGUUAAGAUGGAAGCUGGUUGUGGUUCCGUGAAAGCUGAAGCGUCGGUUUCGAUCGCAGCUGGAUGUGAUCCUAUGAAAGUAGAUGGGUUGGUGAAGAUGGAAGCUGGUUUUGAGUCUGCAAGAGUCGAAGCUCCGGUUGGCUCGGUGAAGAUGGAACCUGGUUAUGAUACUGUGAAAGUUGAAACUCCAUUCAGGGGUGGUAAAGCUGCCCAUUUGUCUGAAGCGAAGGUGGUUCCAAUAGAAAAUGACACGGCUAAAGCUGCAGAGAAGCAACCAGUUGUUUUAGAUGCAGAGAGGUGGUGGCUUCUCCAAGGGACUGAAGCUGCCGGGGACUCGACGUCCAGGGGAUGCCGGAUUCGUGUUGGCGAGUUCGUGUCCUUCAAUUUUCCCAAGCCUGAAGCCGAAAGUAAGAAGAAGUUCUUUGAGCACAAGAAGGUUCGGCCGAAAGCGAGCUCCGACAUUGUAAGGUUCUUGACAAAAGCUUCAGGAGAGGUACGUUUCACUUGACUUGUUUCUUCGUUUUAAUUCUAACCAUUUGCUCACAGAUAGGACGGCUUCCAGCCGACUGGGCCAAGUGUUUGAUACCUUUGGGAAGUGCAAAAUGGCACCAGAGGCUCUUUCUCUUAUGAGCAGCGUAGUUCUCCAUUUGAGGUUGAGUUUUCUGUGUUUACCAGAGACGUUACGUAUAUGAUGUGCUUGCAGAGUUUAUAUCAACAAGUCAGAAGCCUUACGAGGAGGGGGAUGAGCGCGGAUUGAAGCUUCUGCAAGCUAUCUUGAAGCCGUUAAUGCUUCGAAGAAUAAAAGAUUCAACUGAUAAAGAAGGAAGGUAAGCUAUCAUGCAGGCGUUCCUGUACGAAAUAGGAACUCAUAACUGUACCAACAAGUAAUCGGUUUCGAAUAAAUGUCGAGGAGCAGUGGAAGGAGUCGUCCAAAGUCGAGGCUCUGCUGCACCACCUCCAGACGUUAAGUGAGGCCGGGUCGAAAAGCGUUGAUUUUAGUCAGUGGACAGCGUUUCUCGACUUGUUAGAGAUACCAUUGAAAAGGUAUGAGCGUCUUUCCUUUUGGUGCUUUCUCUUUGUUUGUGUUUCUAACAAUGCACUGCCAGGAAGACCUUCUGUUUCGUCCGCUUGGACGGAACACUAUCGCAGCGUCAGCGAGAACAAGUGCUCAAAAACUUCAGCAAUAUUCCAGCCGUGGCCGUAAGCUUUUUGUGUUGCUUACCUCCAAGAAACCACUCUAUUUUGUGGACAGGUCAUGCUCUCAUGCUUUUCUCAUGGUACGCGCUAUAGUUUUCUUUUUUAGCCAUCUUCCGAGUCGAGAAUGUGGACGAUCGAGCAUCGGUCAGACGAAGAACGUAUCGAUCAAGCGAUUCAUCGUCAAAGUAAGCGCCACUUGAAACUCUCUUUGACGUUUCUCAUGUCUCUAGAGGAGGAGAGAGUGCAACAGGUCCAAGCGAGGAAGCAGCGAUUGAUCGGGGGCUCUCACAGACGAAGAGGUGCGAAGCGCUCGAAUCGCGGAGCUCAAAAUGCUAUUUAGAUGAGAAAAACUGGAGUCCUUCGCAGUUUUUUUAACUUAUUAUAUCAGUAUACAUAGUUAAAGAGGGGAAUAUGCUUCUAGCAUCGGCGCGUAUAUUCUUCGGAUAGUUUACUGAAUGAAUGUGUCAUAGGCUAUCGAUAUAGGAGCUAUGGCUCAUUUCUAGGUUUCUUCGACAGCGAAGGAGCAGGCGAUCGCGUCGCAAGCGGCGACGAGCAAGGUAUGCAUGCUAAGAUCGCCUCGAGAAGCAGCAGCAGCGCCGGCGCCGGCGCCGCGCCGCGAUUUCGCUGGCCUAGAGCCGGAGUAGCCGAGCUAGAUUCAUGCAAGCAUAUGAUCUCUAGGAAAUUGAGCUGAACGCUGAGGCUUUGCAGGCGAUCGCGUCGAUUCCUCUCGUCUCCGCGGCCGGGGCGGCUAGAAAGCCGGGGCGCAUUCUAGAGUUUCGGGGUUUCUGGGGCGAUCAGUCAUGUAGCGGGCAGUGAUUCUCUCACAGGGAGCUCAGCCAUGACGUGGAAUCCGCCACAAGUUCCUCCCAGCUUGUCCGCCUCGACUGCCACUACUCAGGCCGAGGAUGAACUGGGCGUGGAUGUGUCGUCUCCCAGCGGCGAUUUGCUACUCCAUAUUCUCAACAGCGGUGGGGGCGACGAGCAGCUGAGGAGCAGUAGCAGCUACAGGACCCAGCAGUCGCAGCUCACGGUCCCUGCCACAGCUUUGCUCCUUCUGGAGCACCUGGAGGAGGAGGAGAAGGUCCUCCUCCACGACCACUCUACGUCCCAGCAAUAAGAUUUGGUGGGUGGUCACCUCACUUCCAGGAGCACCAAGACCCACUUUUCCCUUCGGAUCCAUUCUUGACUCCGUCGGACCACUGAUUUCUACGCUCGUUUGCUCCUCUUCCAGUCGAGAGACCGUUCCAUCCGCCAGUGCCGUAUCCUUUUCCAAAUGCUCCGACUUUCCAGCCUGCUGAUAAUGUGGUUCAUCCGCCGCAUUCCUCUGGGGAGCUUAAACCUCGUCCUGGCCUUCACUUCGGGUCUCCGGUGUUUGGACCCAGCGCAGCAGAGACCUCGGACUCCAAACGCGCCCCAGAGCAGCCGAGGAGAUCGGUUACACCUGCGAAGGAUGACAAGCAACAAUUCCACGGCAAUGGUUCCGAGCUCCUUCAGUUGUUACAGGGUGGUCCUGGUCGUGUGAAGCCCAGCCUCCACAAAGGUGGAUGCUACACAGGACAGUGGGGAUUCUGGAGAGCCAUCACAGAAAGGAAGUCCAUCUGCUGUUCACGGCCCCAUAGGACCGCCGAGGCGUCAUGUCGUUUCUCCUCCGCAGAGUCCAAAUGACCUCCUUGGACGUUUGUGGGCUGCUCUUCCGUCGUCAAGCCACACUUUGUUUGACGGAGAAAGCGAACGCAAGACGUCAGCCCGGAGCUUUGGCGUUGAAGCGAACGAGAUGUCCCGGGAAGUCGAUGGAGGUGGAGCUGCUGGUUUCGCACUUUUGAAGCGAAGGGGAUCGGAGCCUGCCGCCUCGCACUACCUUUAAACGGCUACGACUAUAACGACUCUAAGAAAAUGAUAAGCCGAGGACAAACUCGGCAUCCGGACGACUACAGGACUAUCGUGGGAGAUACGUAAAUGGAGAGGCCGAAUUUGAGGCCGGAGGCGAUGACUUUAGAGGUGCGGGAAGGCGUCGAGGUACCGGUCGUGCAGACGCCAGACGCGGUGGUCGGGGUGCUGUUGGCCAGUGGAUUGCGGUAAAUGAGAGGCAUAAAGAUGCUGAGCCAAGUGACAUCACCUCCUGCGAUAUCUCUGAUGGAAGGGACGAGUCGCUUAAAUCUUCAAACGGGACUUAGUCGAAUGCUAGGAGAAAACAUCAACAGGAAUGGAGGAUAAAACAGGCCGACUCAAAGGCAGCAUUUCCAGCGGAGAAAAAACCGGACUACAAGGUUGCGAAGGCACGGUCUUUGGCAUCUCAACUUGAACGUCCAGGCUUGCCAUCGGGAAGUACGCAGAACUCUUCCGUUGGUGCGGCUUUUGAGGAGUCCAAACAGAGGCUCCAUAAUCUAGAUGCUUUGGAAGGAGAAGGCGUGACGACCUCUCUAGAUCUCGAGGAGCUACAAAUUGACGGUCACCGUCGUCAGGGUAAAGCUCCACAGUUUUACAAGGUUUGUGCUUGCUUUUUCUCUUUCUUUAUUUUCAUGUGUUUGUAUCUCUGGUUACAGCCGAAGGAGAACCGUUUCAGGGAGUCCAGACGCGUCAUUCCCAUGCACAGACGUGAUCUUCUUUACCGACUGGAUCUGCAGAAUUUCACUUGUGAGCUUUUCUGCCUCUACGACGAGCUUAUACCAACCGGAGGUCCGGAGAAGGAAGUACUUCUCGAAGCUUGAGUCCCUUUUCGAGAGGGAGAUCCCGGGAACACGGCUCUUUCUUUUCGGAUCUUGUGUUAAUGCGUUUGGAGUUUGUAACAGUGACAUCGAUGUUUGCCUCUCCGUUGAUGAGGAAGAACCAAACAAGAUCGAGCUUGUUGUUCAAAUGGCAACUAUCCUCGAGUCAGAUGCCAUGUUAAACGUACAGGAGGCAUAGGACAACGUGACUCAUGGUACCCGCUAUAGUUUCUUAUCCGAAUAUUUAACCAUCCUCCGAUCCAGAGAACUUUCCUUUCAUUGUUCUUGGCAACAAGGUCGAUGUUGACGGAGGGAACAGUAGAGUGGUGAGCUCUUUUGUUUGAUCUCUCUCGCCUUACUUUAAAGCUUGUGUGUCCAGGUUUCCCACAAGAAAGCCAAGCCUGGUGUGCUUCCAAGGGAAACAUUCCAUACUUUGAGGCGUCUGCCAAGGAAGACUACAAUGUGGAGGCUGCGAUUCAAUGCAUUGCCAAGAAUGCCUUAACCGAGGAAGACUUGUAAGUUUUGCUUGUUUCUUCUUGUGAUGUUUCAAGCUCACAUUUAACUUCUGGCAGCAGCUAUCUUCCAGACACGAUGGACAAUAAAAUACUCAAAACCACGAGAGUAAAGUAAUAUCCUGAGAAUACGAUUUGUAAGAAAAAAAGAAAAUGUUUCUUCUCCUAACGCUGCUGACGCUGUGAAAUCUCUGUUUUCGUUUUUUGAUGUUCUGCUUGUGAUGCAAAAUGGUGUAGCAUUUGCGCAGAUCUUCGAAAACCAAUCGAUGUCCACUGAAGGAGCAAGGUUUAUUAGGCCUCGAAGGUUAUAUGGACAUCCGGCCGCUCCUCAAGCCAUGGUGGAACUUUCGUACCGUUUGGGCAGCGUAGGACUUUGAGCCUGGGAAAUAAGCCAAGGCCGUGAUUGUCUGAACUCAAUUGGGGCCACACUACAUCAUCAUGCCCAGAGAGCUCAAGUUCCUCCAAUCCUGGAAGGGAUGCAAUGGAUGAUGGAAUAUUUUCGAUCCUACCCAAGGUUACACCUCUUAGAGCAGUCAUCUGGUCUGUUGGCUCAAAGAAAUCAUUGGGGAGCUGCUUAAUAAUAGUCUCCCUCGCGAAUAAUUCGACCUGUUUCACCUUCAGCUGUGAUCUCUCAGUUGGCAUCAAGAGUCUCCUCAUGUAACCUUCUACAUCCAGUUCAUCAAGGUCUUUGGGGUGUUGUGUCACAAAGAGAGGCAAAUGCUCCCAUGUAUUAUCAGGAGCCAGCUUGAAUGUUAAAAGCUGCAGGUUUGGAAGACUUGCUGCCAAAUCGUCCUUGAACUCCGACUGUGCAAUGUGUAGAUUUUCAAGGCCCAGAACUUCAAGGCAUGGGAACGAUCCAUCUAAACUGAAGAACUGGAUACCACUGCAGUCUAGGUGAAGUUGUCGUAGCCGUUGAAAGCCCUUUAGCCAAGACAGGUCUUUCAUUGUCUCAUUGUUUGUGAUGGUUAAAAAUUGUAGCUGUGGCCAUUCAAGGCUUUCGGCAUUGUUUUCACCGUCUUGUACCCUGUCAAUCGAAAAGUGCCGAAGCUGUUUGGAAUUCUUAAACAUUCGCUUCCAGUCAAGUUUGAUAGUCGAUUCCACCCUAAUAUCACAUCGUUUCAGAUUGACAAGUUGCCAUAGGCUGGUGAAAUCGCCAAAGUCCAUGCUCUUUGCCCACAACUCCAGUGUCUCAAUGUCCUCUAGUGCACCAAGGCCGUGAGGUAUUUUUAUUGUUGCCUUGUGGAGGCCUAGCUCUAAAUGUCUUAGCUUGUGUAGGCUUGAAAUUCCACUCAAAUCCACAGCUAACUCCUCAAAGGAAUAAAGCUCCAGCUCUUCCAAGUUGAAUAAUUGGGGCACUAAUCCAAAGUUGAGAUUUCUGGUAGCCUUGCAUUUCAAAACCUUCAGUGAUGUCAAGCUGAAGAGCGCAUCUGGUACAAGGCACAUCUCUCGAAGGUCAAGCACUUGAAGGUUUCUCAGCUUGGAUAUGCUCUCUGGAAUAAAACGGACCUGAUCAGAGCAGUGAAGCAAGCUCAAUACCUUGACAUUUUGGAUGUGAUCUAUAAUAAGACUGACAUCCACACCAGAAAUUUUAUGACAUCCAUCGAGAAGCAAGACAUCUCGCACAUGAAUGUCAGACAAAAGGCUGCUUGUAACCUUCUUUCCAAUGAAUGAAACUUUAGAAAAUGUUGGAGAAAUCCCAGGUGGACAAUCAUAGCCAAACAGGCAUCCCUUCUCGUGCUCUUCCUGGGGCGGGUACUUCCCUUUCAAGAUUCUUAUGCACAGCUUGCGUACCAUAUCGUGCACAGUUACAUACUUAACCCAUCGAAAAUCAGUUGUCUUCACUAGGCAUCUUCGUUCCAGUUCACUAACAAUCUGCAGAGGCGAGAGUUCUGACCCAACCGCUAUCCAACAUUUUCUCAGAUCAUCAAAGUUGAUGUUCCAAUCUUCUUGAAACGCAGCCACAUAGAGAAAGCACUCUUGCAGCUUUUCAUCCUUAUUAAACCGUCCCAGCUCGUCAUAGCUAAACUUCAAGCGCUGGAACAUCCGCUUCUCAAUGUCCCCGUCAUUCAACAAAUGCAUCUUCUGAUAGCGUUCUUCCCACACCUGUGGCCCCGCAUUCCUGUAGACAGCCAUGGCACUGCCAAUCACUUCAAGAGCUAAAGGGAGCCCCUCACAUUUGCUAGCUAUUCUCUUGGCAACUUUCACAAUGUCCGGAUCACUAGGUAGUGAAUCACGAAAGGCAAACUUCCAAAACAUCUUUUCGCUCUCGGCCUUUGAUAGCUUACACACACGAAAUGUUUUUGCACCCAGCAUGCUCAAAAUGUCUUCCUUUCUGGUUGUUACCAGCACCCGGCUGUAAGAGGACGGCCCUGCUAUAAAAUCCAGUCCCUCGGCCCAGCUCAUGUCCCACACAUCAUCCAGUAUCAGCAAGACACAAAUUCCACGAGCAACAUUUUGUGCCAAGGGCUGCACAUGCUCAAGGGUGCCUGCAUUUUGGGCCCUCUCUUUCAUGCCGCCCCAUUCAAGAGCGUUGAGGAGCUGGGCCCUGAGAUCAUCCUCCGAUGCAUCUUUCUUGACAGUGAUCCAUACAAUGUUGUCAUGGAAAUGCUGCCGGACCCUCUGGUCAUUGUUCACGAAUCUUGCAAGGGUGGUCUUGCCACACCCUCCCAUUCCCAGGAGUCCAAACCAUUUCCCCGGGGCUUGUGGAUCCAGGAGGGCAUUCACCACCUCAUCCAGCUGCUCCCCAUGGCGGCCAAACAUGUCGUUGGCCUCGGGAACACCACGCCGUACAUAGUUUACGAGACCUCUGUCUUGUGGACAACUCCGUACGGAAAAGCUGGUGCUCGGCUGUAUCACUCUCAACUCUUCUCGCUCGUACCUUUCAAUGUGCGGGAGGAGAUCGCCCUCGCAAGUGCGUAUCAGCUCCGAAAUCGCGCCAGAUCGCUUCUCCCUGCGCGAAAGAUCCAUCUUUUAGCUUCAUUGCUUCAAACAUGAAUUCGAAUAAGCCUUACUGUGAUCCAAGCAGCGCUUGCGCCUUCUCAGUCCAUUCAGUCAGUUCAGUCAGCCACGCCUCAGCCUCACCAGAGUAGCGGAAAUCUGGAUUCCUGUCCUUGGGAGCAUUAAACUUGUCAAGCGUGGCCUGGAUUCUGGAUGCCCUCUUCUUUAGCUCCUCAAUGUGGACAUUCAGCUCAUGCUCGUGACCUUGGAUCUGCGACAGGAGAUCGUCGUAGGCACUUAAGGACUUCGCGAUCUCGUUACUCCGCUUGUACCUAUAGGAAGUGGAGAAGUUCAACCAGCUGCCUGCCAUUUGUACACACACACACACACAAAAGAUAAAAUGCUACUGUACCGACCGCUUUAUGGGGCUCCAGAUCCUGUUGUGGCGUGAUCCCAAGAGUGCUUGUGCCGUGGUGUUCCAUUUCCUGACACGCUCCAAGCAUUCCUCGGCCGCUUGAGAGAACGUGAAGCCAGAAUUCUGCUGCUUGUGAUCACUGAAAGCGUUGAUCUUGGCCUGGAUGUUGGGCGCCUGGUUCUCCAGCGUUUCAAUGUUGGCAUUGCAGUCCCAUAUCUUCUUAGCAGGGGCCAGAGCCAAGCCACACAAGACGCUUGUCAAGGAGCCCACAACCUCCAUGGCUGUAGACCUACAAGUAAAGGUUGUCUCCCUCCCAGAAAGAAGCGCAAUAUUAACUCUUGACCUUGUAGAUCGGAAUUCUUCACUUUUUUCACAGCUGUGGCUCACUCACUCUAUGAGAUUCACAGUGAGCACCGCAACGAUCGCUACAUCGCUCGCAAAAAACACCUCUAUUUGUACAAACAGACAAACGUGGAGCACGUAAAGUACUUGUGUCUUUGGCCAAAACCCUAAACAUCGACACGCCCGAGAAGAACAUCGUCUUUUCUCUUGUACGGCGUUGAUCCAGGCGUACGGGAAUAGAGGGCUCCUCUGCCGAUCUUUGAUGGGAUCCGGGCGAUCUUGUCACCGACGUCUUGAAAGAUCUUAGAUUCUAUCCGCAAUCGCCCAGUCAAUGCGAUCCUGGCAAUGGGUGCUCCAUAUCAUUCUAUUCCCGCCCGGACGUGAUCUCCAGGAUUUGCGAAGAAGAAGGUCGUCGAUCAGAUGCGCGAUGCUGGCGCGCAAUUGAUUGGGGCUUCCCGCUACAUUUUCCCGCGCUAUCGUCUCUACUUCUCCAUUCUAGGGUUCUUUCUUGGAGGCGACGUAGGUUUUCUAUUGCCCGCGUGGUCGAGGAGACGGCGCUGGGGGGCGGCCUUGAUCGGCGUUCUGGAGCAGUGCCAAGGCGAGGAGCCCCAGCCAGCGUUGGUAAAUCGUGGACGACAGGGAGCUCUAGAUGUACGGUGACAACAAAGGUCCCUGCGGCAAAAUGUUCCAUCGGCUGUGGAUCGCCAAAAACUCCCGCAAAAGCUGAGGCUUCUAGGACAGCAAAAAUUGCCGAGAUGAGCGAUGAUAGUGGAGCAGAGGAUUUAUAUGAUUCGGGAGUAGAAAGUGGAGCAAUCGAUGGUGGAGAAGAAGAGGUAAACAAGAUCAUGACUGGAGGAGGAAACGAUGCCGAGGUGGAAAGAACAACAGUGGUGGAGAGCUCCAUUGAGACUGUCAGGAAACAUGGCGAAGCUGGUUGUGGUUCCGUGAAAGCUGAAGCUUCGGUUUCGAUCGCAGCUGGAUGUGAUCCUACGAAAGUAGAUGGCUUGGUGAAGAUGGAAGCUGGUUUUGAGUCUGCAAGAGUCGAAGCUCCGGUUGGCUCAGUGAAGAUGGAACCUGGUGGUGGCUUCUCCAAGAGACUGAAGUUGCCGGGUACUCGACGUCCAGGGGAUGACGGAUUCGUGUUGGCGAGUUCGUGUCCUUCAAUUUUCCCAAGCCUGAAGCCGAAAGUAAGAAGAAGUUCUUUGAGCACAAGAAGGUUCGGCCGAAAGCGAGCUCCGACAUUGUAAGGUUCUUGACAAAAGCUUCAGGAGAGGUACGUUUCACUUGACUUGUUUCUCCGUUUUAAUUCUAACCAUUUGCUCACAGAUAGGACGGCUUCCAGCCGACUGGGCCAAGUGUUUGAUACCUUUGGGAAGUGCAAAAUGGCACCAGAGGCUCUUUCUCUUAUGAGCAGCGUAGUUCUCCAUUUGAGGUAGAGUUUUCUGUGUUUACCAGAGACGUUACGUAUAUGAUGUGCUUGCAGAGUUUAUAUCAACAAGUCAGAAGCCUUACGAGGAGGGGGAUGAGCGCGGAUUGAAGCUUCUGCAAGCUAUCUUGAAGCCGUUAAUGCUUCGAAGAAUAAAAGAUUCAACUGAUAAAGAAGGAAGGUAAGCUAUCAUGCAGGCGUUCCUGUACGAAAUAGGAACUCAUAACUGUACCAACAAGUAAUCGGUUUCGAAUAAAUGUCGAGGAGCAGUGGAAGGAGUCGUCCAAAGUCGAGGCUCUGCUGCACCACCUCCAGACGUUAAGUGAGGCCGGGUCGAAAAGCGUUGAUUUUAGUCAGUGGACAGCGUUUCUCGACUUGUUAGAGAUACCAUUGAAAAGGUAUGAGCGUCUUUCCUUUUGGUGCUUUCUCUUUGUUUGUGUUUCUAACAAUGCACUGCCAGGAAGACCUUCUGUUUCGUCCGCUUGGACGGAACACUAUCGCAGCGUCAGCGAGAACAAGUGCUCAAAAACUUCAGCAAUAUUCCAGCCGUGGCCGUAAGCUUUUUGUGUUGCUUACCUCCAAGAAACCACUCUAUUUUGUGGACAGGUCAUGCUCAUGCUUUUCUCAUGGUACGCGCUAUAGUUUUCUUUUUUAGCCAUCUUCCGAGUCGAGAAUGUGGACGAUCGAGCAUCGGUCAGACGAAGAACGUAUCGAUCAAGCGAUUCAUCGUCAAAGUAAGCGCCACUUGAAACUCUCUUUGACGUUUCUCAUGUCUCUAGAGGAGGACUCGGUGGAGGAGAGAAUGCAACAGGUCCAAGCGAGGAAGCAGCGAUUUCGCGAGGGCUCUCACAGACAAAGAGGUGCGAAGCGCUCGAAUCGAGGAGCUCAAAAUGCUAUUUAGAUGAGAAGAACUGGAGUCCUUAGCAUUUUUUUAACUUAUAAAUAGGGGAAUAUGCUUCUAGCAUCGGCGCGUAUAUUCUUCGGAUAGUUCAAUGAAUGAAUGGGCUAGGGUACAAGCAUUUCUAAGUUUCUUCGCGGCUAUGGCGGACAGCGAAGGAGCAGGCGAUCGCAAGCGCGGUUGAUUCCGGCAGCAUCGGCGACGAGCAAGGUAUGCAUGCUAGGAUCGCCUCGAGAAGCAGCAGCAGCGCCAGCGCCGGCGCCGCGCCGCGAUUUGAGCCGGAGUAGCCGAUCUAGAUUCAUGCAAGCAUCUGAUCUCUAGGAAAUUGAGCUGAAAGCUGAGGCUUUGUAGGCGAUCGCGUUGAUUCCUCUCGUCUCCGCGGCCGGGGCGGCUAGAAAGCCGGGGCACAUUCUAGAGUUUCGGGGUUUCUGGGGCGAUCAGUCAUGUAUCGGGCAGUGAUUCUCUCACAGGGAGCUGGAAGUCAGCCAUGACGUGGAAUCCGCCACAAGUUUCCUCCCAGCUUGUCCGCCUUGACUGCCACUACUCAGGCCGAGGAUGAACUGGGCGUGGAUGUGUCGUCUCCCAGCGGCGAUUUGCUACUCCAUUUUCUCAAGAGCGGUGGGGGCGACGAGCAGCUGAGGAGCAGUAGCAGCUACAGGACCCAGCAGUCGCAGCUCACGGUCCCUGCGACAGCUUUGCUCCUUCUGGAGGACCUGGAGGAGGAGGAGAAGGUCCUCCUCCACGACCACUCUACGUCCCAGCAACAAGAUUUGGUGGGUGGUCACCUCACUUCCAGCAGCACCAAGACCUACUUUUCCCUUCGGAUCCAUUCUUGACUCCGUCGGACCACUGAUUUCUACGCUCGUUUGCUCCUCUUCCAGUCGAGAGACCGUUCCAUCCGCCAGUGCCGUAUCCUUUUCCAAAUGCUCCGACUUUCCAGCCUGCUGAUAAUGUGGUUCAUCCGCCGCAUUCCUCUGGGGAGCUUAAAGCUCGUCCUGGCCUUCACUUCGAGUCUCCGGUGUUUGGACCCAGCGCAGCUGAGACCUCGGACUCCAAACGCGCCCCAGAGCAGCCGAGGAGAUCGGUUACACCUGCGAAGGAUGACAAGCAACAAUUCCACGGCAAUGGCUCCUUCAGUUGUUACAGGGUGGUCCUGGUCGUGUGAAGCCCACAGCCUCCACAAAGGUGGAUGCUACACAGGACAGUGGGGAUUCUGGAGAGCCAUCACAGAAAGGAAGUCCAUCUGCUGUUCCCGGCCCCAUAGGACCGCCGAGGCGUCAUGUCGUUUCUCCUCCGCAGAGUCCAAAUGACCUCCUUGGACGUUUGUGGGCUGCUCUUCCGUCGUCAAGCCACACUUUGUUUGACGGAGAAAGCAAACGCAAGACGUCAGCCCGGAGCUUUGGCGUUGAAGUGAACGAGGUGUCCCGGGAAGUCGAUGGCGGUGGAGCUGCUGGUUUCGCACUUUUGAAGCGAAGGGGAUCGGAGCCUGCCGCCUCGCACUGCCUUUAAACGGCUACGCCUAUAACGACUCUAAGACAAAUGAUAAGCCAAGGACAAACUCAGCAUCCGGAAGACUACAGGACUAUCGUGGGAGAUACGUAAAUGGAGAGGCCGAAUUUGAGCCCGGAGGCGAUGACUUUAGAGGUGCGGGAAGGCGUCGAGGUCCCGGUCGUGCAGACGCCAGACGCGGUGGUCGGGGUGCUGUUGGCCAGUGGAUUGCGGUAAAUGAGAGGCAUAAAGAUGCUGAGCCAAGUGACAUCACCUCCUGCGAUAUCUCUGAUGGAAGGGACGAGUCGCUUAAAUCUUCAAACGGGACUUAGUCGAAUGCUAGGAGAAAACAUCAACAGGAAUGGAGGAUAAAACAGGCUGACUCAAAGGCAGCAUUUCCAGCGGAGAAAAAACCGGACUACAAGGUUCCAAAGGCACGGUCUUCGGCAUCUCAACUUGGCAUCUCAACUUGAACGUCCAGGCUUGCCAUCGGGAAGUACGCAAAACUCUUCCGUUGGUGCGGCUUUUGAGGAGUCCAAACAGAGGCUCCAUAAUCUAGAUGCUUUGGAAGGAGAAGGCGUGACGACCUCUCUAGAUCUCGAGGAGCUACAAAUUGACGGUCACCGUCGUGAGGGUAAAGCUCCACGGUUUUACAAGGUUUGUGCUUGCUUUUUUUCUUUCUCUAUUUUCAUGUGUUACAGCCGAAGGAGAACCGUUUCAGGACCUCUGAAGAACUAAAG